GAGUUAAUUCUAAGAUGGAAACAAUAUGAAGCAUACGUACAAGCUUUGGAGGGCAAGUAUACAGAUCUUAAACUCUAAUGAUGUAACUGGCCUAAGAGAGUCUGAAGAAAAACUAAAGCAACAACAGCAAGAGUCUGCACGCAGGGAAAACAUCCUUGUAAUGCGACUAGCAACCAAGGAACAAGAGAUGCAAGAGUGUACUACUCAAAUCCAGUACCUCAAGCAAGUCCAGCAGCCGAGCGUUGCCCAACUGAGAUCAACAAUGGUAGACCCAGCGAUCAACUUGUUUUUCCUAAAAAUGAAAGGUGAACUGGAACAGACUAAAGACAAACUGGAACAAGCCCAAAAUGAACUGAGUGCCUGGAAGUUUACGCCUGAUAGACGCCUGAUGGCAUCGGACUAUUCCGAAGAAGUGGCCACCUCCGAAAAAUUCCCCUUCUAGAACAUGUAGACACUUGAGAAAUGUUUCUGUUUGAAGAAAAUAGAGGGAGAAACAGAAGUCUUAAGUCUGUGGCACACUGUGUCUUCAGACAGUUUGAAGGAAUGAAAACCUAGAGAUUUUAAAUCAUGA
RNAcentral lists this long non-coding RNA (571 nucleotides) under Homo sapiens (human). RNAcentral's name for it is "non-protein coding lnc-PKHD1-2:3". The record is from RNAcentral. Lineage: Eukaryota; Metazoa; Chordata; Mammalia; Primates; Hominidae.